This 749-nucleotide ribosomal RNA is filed under the name Ruhlandiella patagonica. Its description in RNAcentral is "LSU rRNA". It matches the Rfam family "Eukaryotic large subunit ribosomal RNA", at positions 81 to 846 of the family's 3401-position model. Lineage: Eukaryota; Fungi; Ascomycota; Pezizomycetes; Pezizales; Pezizaceae. The record is from RNAcentral.
UAGUAACGGCGAGUGAAGCGGCAAAAGCUCAGAUUUUAAAUCUGGCGUCAUUUUGGCGUCCGAGUUGUAGUCUGUAGAGGAGUAUUCGAGUGUGGCUUUGGCUUAAGUUCCUUGGAACAGGGCGUCAUAGAGGGUGAGAACCCCGUUAACGGCCUUUGUCUUAUGCUCAUGUGAAUCUCCUUCAACGAGUCGAGUUGUUUGGGAAUGCAGCUCUAAAUGGGUGGUAAAUUCCAUCUAAAGCUAAAUACUGGCAAGAGACCGAUAGCGCACAAGUAGAGUGAUCGAAAGAUGAAAAGAACUCUGAACAGAGAGUUAAAUAGUACGUGAAAUUGUUGAAAGGGAAGCACUUGCGACCAGACGCACUUGCAGCUGAUCAACCUCCAUUCUUGGGGGUGCACUCCGCUGUCUGUGGGUCAGCAUCAGUUAUAGUGGUGGGAAAAAGACUAGGGGAAUGUAGCUCCUUUCGGGGAGUGUUAUAGCCCUUGGUGUAAUGCUGCCUGCUGUGACUGAGGACCGCGCUUCGGCGAGGAUGCUGGCAUAAUGGUUGUAAGUGACCCGUCUUGAAACACGGACCAAGGAGUCUAACAUCUAUGCGAGUGUUUGGGUGUUCAAACCCUUACGCGGAAUGAAAGUGAAUGGAGGUGGGAACCGUAAGGUGCACCAUCGACCGAUCCUGAUGUUUACGGAUGGAUUUGAGUAGGAGCAUAGCUGUUGGGACCCGAAAGAUGGUGAACUAUGCCUGAAUAGGG